UGGUGUCUAAACAAUUGUAUCCAGAUACUCCU
RNAcentral lists this non-coding RNA (32 nucleotides) under Mus musculus (house mouse). The record is from RNAcentral. Lineage: Eukaryota; Metazoa; Chordata; Mammalia; Rodentia; Muridae.